This is a long non-coding RNA of Carassius carassius (crucian carp), 313 nucleotides long. RefSeq lists it as uncharacterized. The transcript has 3 exons. Lineage: Eukaryota; Metazoa; Chordata; Actinopteri; Cypriniformes; Cyprinidae. The record is from RefSeq and is a predicted model, not a curated record.
CGCAGGUGAGAGCUGUGGCGGAGGGAUAUGCAGAUACACAGCGAGCAGAGGGAUGAACAACAGAGCCACGUGAAGCCACCACUCCCUGCUGACACGACGGACCGAUCCGCACUCGCCUUCAUUCCGCUGCAGACAGAAUUAGAGAUGUUUGGACGUUACACCCAGCCGACAGAAGCAUGUGGACCGACAUCGGCUGUAAUGAUGGACAUCUGCUCAUAAGGCGGACCUGGUGCGGCCUCCACUUCAAAAUCACACCAUUAAAAGCGUGAAGACUCCAGCUCCAGCCAUUUCAGAUACUCUUUAACUUCCAAAC